CUGGCGGCGCGCCUAACACAUGCAAGUCGAACGGAGUCAAGAGGAGCUUGCUUUUCUUGACUUAGUGGCGAACGGGUGAGUAACGCGUGAGUAACCUGCCCUGAAGUGGGGGACAACAGUUGGAAACGACUGCUAAUACCGCAUAAGCCCACGGAUUCGCAUGGAUCUGCGGGAAAAGGAUUUAUUCGCUUCAGGAUGGACUCGCGUCCAAUUAGCUAGUUGGUGAGGUAACGGCCCACCAAGGCGACGAUUGGUAGCCGGACUGAGAGGUUGAACGGCCACAUUGGGACUGAGACACGGCCCAGACUCCUACGGGAGGCAGCAGUGGGGGAUAUUGCACAAUGGGGGAAACCCUGAUGCAGCGACGCCGCGUGGAGGAAGAAGGUUUUCGGAUUGUAAACUCCUGUCGUUAGGGACGAUAAUGACGGUACCUAACAAGAAAGCACCGGCUAACUACGUGCCAGCAGCCGCGGUAAAACGUAGGGUGCAAGCGUUGUCCGGAAUUACUGGGUGUAAAGGGAGCGCAGGCGGACCGGCAAGUUGGAAGUGAAAACCAUAGGCUCAACCUAUGGAUUGCUUUCAAAACUGCUGGCCUUGAGUAGUGCAGAGGUAGGUGGAAUUCCCGGUGUAGCGGUGGAAUGCGUAGAUAUCGGGAGGAACACCAGUGGCGAAGGCGACCUACUGGGCACCAACUGACGCUGAGGCUCGAAAGCAUGGGUAGCAAACAGGAUUAGAUACCCUGGUAGUCCAUGCCGUAAACGAUGAUUAAUGGGUGUUGGAGGAUUGACCCCUUCAGUGCCGCAGUAACACAAUAAAGUAUUCCACUGGGGGAGUACGACCGCAAGGGUGAAACUCAAAGAAUUGACGGGGGCCCGCACAAGCAGUGGAGUAUGUGGUUUAAUUCGAAGCAACGCGAAGAACCUUACCAGGUCUUGACAUCCGAUGCAUAGUGCAGAGAUGCAUGAAGUCCUUCGGGACAUCGAGACAGGUGGUGCAUGGUUGUCGUCAGCUCGUGUCGUGAGAUGUUGGGUUAAGUCCCGCAACGAGCGCAACCCUUAUUGCCAGUUACUACGCAAGAGGACUCUGGCGAGACUGCCGUUGACAAAACGGAGGAAGGUGGGGAUGACGUCAAAUCAUCAUGCCCUUUAUGACCUGGGCUACACACGUACUACAAUGGCGUUUAACAAAGAGAAGCAAGACCGCGAGGUGGAGCAAAACUCAAAAACAACGUCUCAGUUCAGAUUGCAGGCUGCAACUCGCCUGCAUGAAGUCGGAAUUGCUAGUAAUCGCGGAACAGCAUGCCGCGGUGAAUACGUUCCCGGGCCUUGCACACACGCGCCCGUC
RNAcentral lists this ribosomal RNA (1344 nucleotides) under uncultured bacterium. Its description in RNAcentral is "16S ribosomal RNA". It matches the Rfam family "Bacterial small subunit ribosomal RNA", at positions 36 to 1398 of the family's 1533-position model. The record is from RNAcentral.